GACGAACGCUGGCGGCGUGCUUAACACAUGCAAGUCGAGCGGUAAGGCCUUUCGGGGUACCCGAGCGGCGAACGGGUGAGUAACACGUGGGUGAUCUGCCCUGCACUUCGGGAUAAGCCUGGGAAACUGGGUCUAAUACCGGAUAUGACCUCCUAUCGCAUGGUGGGUGGUGGAAGAUUUAUCGGUGCAGGAUGGGCCCGCGGCCUAUCAGCUUGUUGGUGGGGUAAUGGCCUACCAAGGCGACGACGGGUAGCCGACCUGAGAGGGUGACCGGCCACACUGGGACUGAGACACGGCCCAGACUCCUACGGGAGGCAGCAGUGGGGAAUAUUGCACAAUGGGCGAAAGCCUGAUGCAGCGACGCCGCGUGAGGGAUGACGGCCUUCGGGUUGUAAACCUCUUUCAGCAGGGACGAAGCGCAAGUGACGGUACCUGCAGAAGAAGCACCGGCUAACUACGUG
Molecule: ribosomal RNA, 461 nt
Filed under: uncultured bacterium
Lineage: Bacteria
Description: partial 16S ribosomal RNA
Rfam family: Bacterial small subunit ribosomal RNA
Source: RNAcentral